CCAAAGCUGGCGACCGGCGCACGGGUGAGUAACACGUAUCCAACCUGCCGAUGACUCGGGGAUAGCCUUUCGAAAGAAAGAUUAAUACCCGAUGGCAUAGUUCUUCCGCAUGGUGGAACUAUUAAAGAAUUUCGGUCAUCGAUGGGGAUGCGUUCCAUUAGGUUGUUGGCGGGGUAACGGCCCACCAAGCCUUCGAUGGAUAGGGGUUCUGAGAGGAAGGUCCCCCACAUUGGAACUGAGACACGGUCCAA
This 251-nucleotide ribosomal RNA is filed under the name uncultured bacterium. RNAcentral's name for it is "partial 16S ribosomal RNA". It matches the Rfam family "Bacterial small subunit ribosomal RNA", at positions 82 to 334 of the family's 1533-position model. The record is from RNAcentral.